Molecule: transfer RNA, 69 nt
Filed under: Klebsiella pneumoniae
Lineage: Bacteria; Pseudomonadati; Pseudomonadota; Gammaproteobacteria; Enterobacterales; Enterobacteriaceae
Description: tRNA-Phe
Rfam family: tRNA
About the family: Transfer RNA (tRNA) molecules are approximately 80 nucleotides in length. Their secondary structure includes four short double-helical elements and three loops (D, anti-codon, and T loops). Further hydrogen bonds mediate the characteristic L-shaped molecular structure. tRNAs have two regions of fundamental functional importance: the anti-codon, which is responsible for specific mRNA codon recognition, and the 3' end, to which the tRNAs corresponding amino acid is attached (by aminoacyl-tRNA synthetases). tRNAs cope with the degeneracy of the genetic code in two manners: having more than one tRNA (with a specific anti-codon) for a particular amino acid; and 'wobble' base-pairing, i.e. permitting non-standard base-pairing at the 3rd anti-codon position.
Source: RNAcentral
GAGCUCAGUCGGUAGAGCAGGGGAUUGAAAAUCCCCGUGUCCUUGGUUCGAUUCCGAGUCCGGGCACCA